AAGUCGUAACAAGGUUUCCGUAGGUGAACCUGCGGAAGGAUCAUUACCGAGUUAGGGUCUUCCAGGCCCGACCUCCAACCCUGUGUCUAAACUACUAUGUUGCUUUGGCGGGCCCGCCUCUAGGGGCCGCCGGGGGUCUUACUACCCCUGGCCAGCGCCCGUCAGUAGCCUUCUGAAAACUCUUUAUAACCGUGUCGUCUGAGUAUAAAUUUAAAUCGUUAAAACUUUCAACAACGGAUCUCUUGGUUCUGGCAUCGAUGAAGAACGCAGCGAAAUGCGAUAAGUAAUGCGAAUUGCAGAAUUCAGUGAGUCAUCGAAUCUUUGAACGCACAUUGCGCCCUUUGGUAUUCCGAAGGGCAUGCCUGUUCGAGCGUCAUUAUCAACCAUCAAGCCUGGCUUGUCGUUGGACCCCCUUGUCGUCGAGAGCCGACAGGUCCGAAAGAUAAUGACGGUGUCGUGUUUGACCCUAGAUGCAACGAGCUUUUACAGCACGCAUCGAAGUGGUUGGCCGGCCCGGUCCUUCAAACCCCCCAUUUAAUAAGGUUGACCUCGGAUCAGGUAGGAAUACCCGCUGAACUUAAGCAUAUCAAUAAGCGGAGGAAAAGAAACCAACAGGGAUUACCCUAGUAACGGCGAGUGAAGCGGUAACAGCUCAAAUUUGAAAUCUGGCCUUUACAGGUCCGAGUUGUAAUUUGUAGAGGAUGUUUCGGGCAAGGCUUUGGUUUAAAUUUCUUGGAACAGAAUGUCAUAGAGGGUGAGAGUCCCGUCUAGAACCGAUCGCCGCGUCCAUGUGAAACUCCUUCGACGAGUCGAGUUGUUUGGGAAUGCAGCUCAAAAUGGGUGGUAAAUUUCAUCUAAAGCUAAAUAUUGGCCAGAGACCGAUAGCGCACAAGUAGAGUGAUCGAAAGAUGAAAAGCACUUUGAAAAGAGAGUUAAACAGUAUGUGAAAUUGUUGAAAGGGAAGCGCUUGCAACCAGACUUGCGUGUAGCGGUUCCCCCAGUCUUCUGACUGGGCUAUUCCGUUAUAUCCAGGCCAGCAUCGGUCCGGGUGGUCGGUCAAAGGCCUUGGGAAUGUAUCUACCUUCGGGUCGACUUAUAGCCCAGGGUGUAAUGCGGCCUACCUGGACCGAGGAACGCGCUUCGGCUCGGAUGCUGGCGUAAUGGUUGUAAGCGGCC
This 1176-nucleotide ribosomal RNA is filed under the name uncultured fungus. Its description in RNAcentral is "eukaryotic LSU rRNA". The stretch from base 545 to 1176 matches the Rfam family "Eukaryotic large subunit ribosomal RNA", at positions 1 to 649 of the family's 3401-position model. The record is from RNAcentral. Lineage: Eukaryota; Fungi.